CGGGCAGGGCCUGGGAGGACGGCGAGGCUGGAGGGCCGCCCCCGGCAGUAGCGGCCGCAGGUCGGACUGGAGUCUGACAGGGGACGGGGAAGUCAAGCACAGAGGUCAGGCCUCAGCUAUUGGCCCUGAGACGGGUUAAGGGGCUGUGAGCGGACUGGCUUUCGGCUGCAGGGUCCUGGAGCCCUGGCGUGCGCGCACCCCGGGGAGCCUGUUGGAGAUGCGUGCGCCGGGGCUCCCUGUCCUGUCACCAAGCCCCGUGCCCGGGGGCCCACUCCCUGCGUGUCCACCACAGCGCCUGUGCCGCGGGAAUUCAGCUUCGGGGCUGCACGUCCUGACGUUGUGCGGACGUACGGGCCUCCUGGGUCGCAGGCACUGCCUGGUGUCUGUGGAUUCUAAGGACUGUCCUCAUCAAGAACCUGACCUAGGCAACCUGCCGAACUUCCCCUGACAUCCGUUUCUUAUCUCCUGAAGUAGCGGUUGUUAUCAAACGUCAGAGGGUCACGUGAACAUUAACUGUGGUCCGGUAUGGAAAGCAUGAGUCCCAGGGAAGAAAGUUCAUUCAUUAAUCAAAGACAAGAACAGUUUCUGUCUCUUCUUUGGCUAAUUUCACUUUUACGUAAUGAGUCUGAGCUUUUUAACCGUUCUGAGCGAACUGUGUGGCCCCUAAUUUCUCCAUGAGCGCUGUAAGGUAUUUGUAUCGCUAUUUCUUCACAUCCAGAGACUGAGAUUGAAAGAAGAUAAGAAGUUGGCUGAAGAUCACACAAUUAGUAAAUGUUAGAGCUGGAAUAAAGUCCAGUUCUGAGUGACGUGAAAGUAUAUGCUUUUUGCACAUUACGACCUUAUAUUUCCCAUUCUUCCCAUCCUUUGGUCCCCGAGUGACUUUACUUUCAGUGAAGAGCCUUGGGACCUGUCACAGUUGUUUUUUAAUCAGUGCCUAUCAUUAGUUAUUGCCAUUUUUCUAUGUAAACAGUGAUUUUUACUGCUUAGGAGGGAAUCUUCAAAGGUGUUUCUAAAACGUAGCUCCAGCUGGAGGGUGCUUUUUAAACUCUUCAAGGACAAGAUGAAUGCAGACUCAAAGGAGGUUUUACCCCUGGAUGUGCAAGCUCCUGAGGUUUGGGAAGAACUUCUGACAGUGGAAAUGGAGACGGAAAGUCGCCUCCAAGUGCAGGAAUCCAGGCUGAAACAUAGUAAUCCCCUGGCAAGGGAAAUUUUCCGAAGGCGCUUUCGACAGCUGCGCUACCAGGAGACCCCUGGACCCAGGGAGGCCUUCACCCGACUCCAGGAGCUUUGCCGCCAGUGGUUGAAGCCACAUGUGAGCCCAAAGGAGCAGAUCGUGGAGCUGCUGGUGCUGGAGCAGUUCCUGACCAUCCUGCCCGAGGAUCUGCAGGCCUGGGUGUGGGAGCACUGUCCAGAGAGCAGGGAGGAGGCUGUGAUUUUGCUGGAGAAUCUGGAGAGAGAGCUCGAUGAACCUCAACAUGAGUGGUAGCCCACACGCAGGGGCAAGAAGUCCUCUCUGAAGAGACAGUGCCUCUGGGAGCACAGACAUCACCGAGCCUCCAGUCCCGGCCUGAGGAACCCCAGCUCACCCGUGACACUGCUCAGCAGCCCCACCCUAUUGGAGAGACAGAUGGAAUGACCAAGGCUGAGGACAGAGAGCUGGUGCUGAGGAAAGACUGUCCUAAGAUAGUGGAGUCCCACGGGGAGAUAUUUUAUGGACAGACCUGGGGGGAAUCCCCCCAGGAUCCCCGACAUGGAGAGCUUGGUGACCCUGAGGGUUGGGCAGCGGGGCGCUGGGGCAGCCCCCGAGGGGAGGGACGGCACAAGUGUGAUGCGUGUGAGAAGAGCUUUGCCCAGAGCUCAGGCCUUGUUCGCCAUCACAGAAUCCACACUGGGGAGAGACCCUAUGAGUGUAGUGAGUGUGGGAAGACCUUUAGUCGGAGCUCUGGUCUUUUCAAUCACUGAGGCAUCCACAACCUGCAGAAACGGUCCCGCUGUGCGGAGUGCGGGAAGGCCUUCAGUCAGAGUGCGGGUCUGAUCCAGCAUCAGAGAACCCACAGGGGAGAGAGGCCCCACCGGUGCGGCCAGCGUGGGAAGAGCUACAGUCGGCGUCCGUUCCUCGUCGAGCACCCGAGGGGCCACACGGGGGAGCGGCCGCACAUGCACCAAGUGUGGGAAGAGCUCCAGCCGCCACGGCAGCCUCAUCCGCCAUCAGAAGACCCACACGGCGGCGGGUUUCCGGACCACUGGCCAAGUCCCGGGGGAGGCUAAGGCUAGAAAACGUCUUUCUUCACGUCCCACUAGGUGCGUUUUGGAUCAAGUACUGACCUGUGGCCUGGGCACAUCUGAAGAGGAAGGUGCGAGUGUUUGAAGCUGCUGCUCUCCCUUUGGUCCCUUCAGCCCUCCCCGGGGUGCCGCGCCCCAGCCCUCGUGGGUGCUGACUUGGGGACGGCUGCACCACUUUCCCAUCACGUAACCUGUGGCGCUGCCGUGGCCACAAGCCUGAAGGGCUGUAUCUGCUGAGUUCCUCGAGAGCACACAGAGGUCUGCUGAUGGUUCACGGUAAAGGGUCUGUGGCGUCCCUGGGACGAGGACCUACGGGGCCAACCCCUUCCCCCUCGCUGCGUCCCCGGUGCCCGACCGGCGCUGUUUGCAGACUGCUUCCGUUUCCGAAGCACAGCUGGCAGGGAAAGGGCGCCAUCAUGUCCAUCUUACAGACGAGGAAGCCGUGAGGCGUCGGGGCUUAAAACCUGGACUUUUGUUUUGGAAUAAUUUAAGCUAAUAGAAAUGAUAGAGUUUUCAUAUGCUCUUCAUGUCCCACCGUGUUUUUAGUUAAAGCCCCGGCUUUGGGCUUCACUCCCCAGGUGUUUAUGGUGCUGUCCUGCUUCACUGGGAUCGUCAGGCUGUGUCUGCGGAGCUCGGUCACCUAACAGUCCCUUUGUGCUCGUCCGUCACGCCCGCAGCUUUGCAGGCCGUCUGUGUCCCGAGUCCAAGGCCACCCUGCGGAGUUGGGUCACCAGCCACAUAAAGUGCUUAUAUUUUUAUUUAUUUAUUUUUAAAAAUUUUAUUUAUUUGACCUGAGCUGAAAGCAGCUGCUCAACGGAUUGAGCCCCUUCUUGAUCCAAGUCUCCCUCUCCUUUUUCCCAUUUCUCUACUGAGUGGGUGGCCCAGGAAGUCUUAUGAACAAAGGUUUUAUGAACAGUUUCCCGUCACAGAGCUACAUUACCGAAUGCACAGCAUUACCUACAAAUUCCACACAACGCCAUCUUGAGGGAGGGCAUCCAUUUCCCUCGCUGUGGGGGAAAGUUCUACCUGCUGCGAGAAGCCCAAGAUGAAUUUCUGCAUCAUAGUACGCUUAAAGAUAGGCCCUGGGAUCAUCUGAUAGAAAUGUUGGGCAUGAAAUACAGAAAUGGUCUGAGGAUUUGCUGUUGCUGAUUACAUUAGGGGUCCCCUGCCUUGAGUGAGUUGAGAUUCAAAAGUUCAACUCUGAAAGUUGCCUGUCUUCAUCCCUUGUUGUGUCUCCAAAUUGUGUGGUACAGUGGAGACAUUAAGGACCAGGAGCCAGGUCGCCAGGGAUGGAGUCCCUGCUCAGUGAGGUCUGCAGGGUGGGGCCUUUGGUAAGUCACCUGGAGUGGAUUUCCGAGAAGCAGAGCCCGGGCAGGGAUUCAGGUCCAGGGGAUUUACUGCAGAGGGGCAACCGCAGGGCAGCAGGGGAAGCAGGACGUGGAGGAGAGGGCUGAGCAAGAUGUGGUCUCAGUCUAGCUGUAGCCUAAUUUGGGGGAAGGGUGUCUGGAACAAAACUCACCUUGGAGGCAAGGGGCUAGCCUUGUGUGUCCGCACUCAGCACUCAUGGAUUGAGGGUGGCCUGCUCAUGGUGGCCAGGGGAAGGGAGCACUGUCUGGGUGCAGGGCAGGGCACAGGACCACGGGCAGCUUUCACUGAGCUCAGCCUCUCAGGCCUGUUCCUGCGCUUGCCUGCCCACUUCUCACAGUUGUUCUGAGGAGCAGCAGAUAGCAAUGAGAGGAAAGGACACUGUGAUCUCUAAAAUACACAUCACAUGAAGAGAAGGGGACAUUAUUACUAAAUUUGAAUAUGAUCUAUAGCAAGGCAAAAGGAGGGUUGGACAGCAGUGAGAGACCUCCUAAGUUAAAGUGUUUGGGGGACUUUUUCUUUUACCUCAAUUUUUUAAGAAAGUAUAUUACAGACUGCUGUCAUGUGGGGUUUAGAAAUAAAUUAAUAUUUGGAUCAGGGGAGCAGAGAGAAAAAAGUAAGUUAACAUUAAAAAGUGAAGACGUGUCCUGAGUGGAAUUCCCUGUUUUCCCUGAACUGGGAGCAUUUAGUUCACGUGUAACGUAAAUGUGCUCUGCAACAGUCUCUCCAUUAAAUUGGUAUAGGAGUUCUCCUCUCCCAGUGGCUUUCCCCCCCUGCUCAUCGCCCCGGGCCCGGCGGGCUGGCACAGGGCAGGCGGGCGGCUCACACGGCAGCCGUGUAUCUCCCACAGUUCUGGAGACGGGGAGGCCGGCAUCCGGGCACCAGCUCGGGCUUAGGUGACGGCACCUUCCUUUGUGCUCACAUGACCUGUCUUUUGUGUGCCUGGGGGAGGGAGGGAGAGAGACGGACAGAGAGACAAACCGAGGGUCAGAGACAGAGGCAGACAGACAGACAGCAAGCUUCUUAAAAGGGCGCUAAUCCCACUGUCAUGACCUGACCUGACCCUGAUUACCUCCCAAAGGCCCCAUCUCCAAAUACCAUCACAUUGUGGGGUUAAUUUUAACACAUGCAUGUAAGGGGGGGGACACACAAAUAGUCCAUCACACGACCCCACUGCUUCCAGUGGCUGCUCUCAACAGGUCUCCAUCUGUUUUUUCAGCUCUGCCUGAGAACUAAACAUACCUGCAUCUUUAUAUAACCCUGUAAUAGUCAUCCUUAUCUUAUUCCUAAUUUUGAAUGGAUGUAUCUAAUGAUUUGGCAAAAAAUCACAUUUUCUGUGUGUUUCUGAUAAUUAUUCUCAUAACAUUAAGAAUAUUCCCUCCUCAUUUGCAAGAAUUCUUUAUCAUGAAUGAUUUCUUUUAGAGAAUAUUAGCCUAGUAUCUCUUUCCCAUCCUUUACUUUUAAAAAAUGAUUUCCUUUGGAUAUCCUAUGUACAGAAUUGGAUUAAUUACAAUCCUUGGUAUGAUUCAUGACACACUGUCAUCAUUUGUCCAUGAAUGCCAUGAUUUUGAUUAUUCGUUUGGUAACUUAGGUAGUUAAUUUAGUACCUAGCACUCAUUAAUGUGUCAUUAAACACAAACAAAACAAAAGAUCUUGAAAAACACCUGUAUGGCCAAUCACUCGGCACCCCUCAUCUUUGCCACCCGAAUUUCCCAAUUAAAGGACAUCAUCUUGAAUCCUGAUUUUAUAAUUUCUUGCUUUCCUAUUUAUAUACUUUUACUGCAUAUAUUUGCAUUCCUAAGAACUAUAAUUUUUAAUUGAUUCUAAUAACUCUUUAUAAAAUUUCCUAUGUUCAGUCUUGUUUUUUAACUCAUCAAUUUAAUCCAGUUGUGUUUAUUAUGAUUAUCAGUUUAUUGCUACCACCCAACUUUGUCUUUUCUAUUUUCCAUGAUCUUUCUUUAAUUUUUU
This is a non-coding RNA of Leptonychotes weddellii (Weddell seal), 5616 nucleotides long. Lineage: Eukaryota; Metazoa; Chordata; Mammalia; Carnivora; Phocidae. The record is from RefSeq and is a predicted model, not a curated record.